UACGUAGGGAGCGAGCGUUGUCCGGAAUUACUGGGUGUAAAGGGAGCGUAGACGGCAGUGCAAGUCUGGAGUGAAAGGCGGGGGCUCAACCCCCGGACUGCUCUGGAAACUGUACGGCUGGAGUGCAGGAGAGGUAAGUGGAAUUCCUAGUGUAGCGGUGAAAUGCGUAGAUAUUAGGAGGAACACCAGUGGCGAAGGCGGCUUACUGGACUGUAACUGACGUUGAGGCUCGAAAGCGUGGGGAGCAAACAGG
Molecule: ribosomal RNA, 253 nt
Filed under: uncultured bacterium
Lineage: Bacteria
Description: partial 16S ribosomal RNA
Rfam family: Bacterial small subunit ribosomal RNA
Source: RNAcentral